GUAAGGAAUAUUGGGCAAUGGACGAAAGUCUGACCCAGCCAUGCCGCGUGAAGGAUUAAGGUCCUCUGGAUUGUAAACUUCUUUUCUCUGGGGCGAAAACCACCCUUUCUAGGGUAUUUGACAGUACCAGAGGAAUAAGCACCGGCUAACUCCGUGCCAGCAGCCGCGGUAAUACGGAGGGUGCAAGCGUUAUCCGGAUUCACUGGGUUUAAAGGGUGCGUAGGUGGGUCUGUAAGUCAGUGGUGAAAUCCCCGAGCUUAACUUGGGAACUGCCGUUGAUACUAUAGAUCUUGAAUAUCGUGGAGGUAAGCGGAAUAUGUCAUGUAGCGGUGAAAUGCUUAGAUAUGACAUAGAACACCAAUUGCGAAGGCAGCUUACUACACGAUCAUUGACACUGAGGCACGAAAGCGUGGGGAGCAAACAGGAUUAGAUACCCUAGUAGUCC
This 445-nucleotide ribosomal RNA is filed under the name uncultured bacterium. RNAcentral's name for it is "bacterial SSU rRNA". It matches the Rfam family "Bacterial small subunit ribosomal RNA", at positions 354 to 796 of the family's 1533-position model. The record is from RNAcentral.